RNAcentral lists this ribosomal RNA (482 nucleotides) under uncultured bacterium. RNAcentral's name for it is "partial 16S ribosomal RNA". It matches the Rfam family "Bacterial small subunit ribosomal RNA", at positions 28 to 507 of the family's 1533-position model. The record is from RNAcentral.
GAUGAACGCUCGCGGCAGGCCUAAUACAUGCAAGUCGAACGAGAUUACGAGGCUUGCUUCUUAUGAACGUGGCGCACGGGUGCGUAACGCGUAUGCAACCUACCUUAAUCAGGGGGAUAGCCCGAAGAAAUUCGGAUUAAGACCGCAUAAAAACACAGGAUAGCAUUAUCCAAUGUUCAAAUAUUUAUAGGAUUAAGAUGGGCAUGCGUGUCAUUAGCUAGUUGGCGGGGUAACGGCCCACCCAGGCGACGAUGACUAGGGGAUCUGAGAGGAUGACCCCCCAGACUGGGACUGGGAAACGGACCAGACUCCUACGGGAGGCAGCAGUAAGGAAUAUUGGUCAAUGGAGGGAACUCUGAACCAGCCAUGCCGGGUGCAGGAAGACAGCCCUCUGGGUCGUAAACUGCUUUUAGUCGGGAAUAAACCUUUCUACGUGUAGGAGGCUGAAGGUACCGAAGGAAUAAGGAUCGGCUAACUCCGUG